AUUGAACGCUGGCGGCAGGCCUAACACAUGCAAGUCGAGCGAGCGGCGGACGGGUGAGUGCUGUCUGGGAAACUGCCUGCUGGGGGGGGGUAACUCCUGGAAACGGUAUCUCAUACCGCAUACCCUCUGAUGUGCCCAGAUGGGAUUAGCUAGUGGGUGGGGUAACGGCUCACCUAGGCGACGAUCCCUAGCUGGUCUGAGAGGAUGACCAGCCACACUGGAACUGAGACACGGUCCAGACUCCUACGGGAGGCAGCAGUGGGGAAUAUUGCACAAUGGGCGCAAGCCUGAUGCAGCCAUGCCGCGUGUGUGAAGAAGGCCUUCGGGUUGUAAAGCACUUUCAGCGGGGAGGCGUUACCCGCAGAAGAAGCACCGGCUAACUCCGUGCCAGCAGCCGCGGUAAUUC
RNAcentral lists this ribosomal RNA (406 nucleotides) under uncultured bacterium. RNAcentral describes it as "partial 16S ribosomal RNA". It matches the Rfam family "Bacterial small subunit ribosomal RNA", at positions 30 to 526 of the family's 1533-position model. The record is from RNAcentral.